This 503-nucleotide ribosomal RNA is filed under the name uncultured bacterium. RNAcentral describes it as "bacterial SSU rRNA". It matches the Rfam family "Bacterial small subunit ribosomal RNA", at positions 915 to 1437 of the family's 1533-position model. The record is from RNAcentral.
GGGGACCUGCACAAAUGGUGGAUCAUGUUGUUUAAUUCGUCACUACACGUUGAACCUUACCAAGGCUUGACAUCUCCUGCAAAGUUAUAGAAAUAUAAUGGAGGUUAACAGGAUGACAGGUGGUGCAUGGUUGUCGUCAGUUCGUGUCGUGAGAUGUUGGGUUAAGUCCCGCAACGAACGCAACCCUUGUUACUAGUUAAUUUUUCUAGUAAGACUGCUUAUGCAAAUAAGAGGAAGGUGGGGAUGACGUCAAAUCAUCAUGCCCCUUAUGUCUUGGGCUACAAACGUGGUACAAUGGCUGUUACAAACCGUUACCAAACCGCAAGGUGGAGUUAAUCGGAAAAAGGCAGUCUCAGUUCGGAUCGAGGGCUGCAAUUCGCCCUCGUGAAGUUGGAAUCAUUAGUAAUCUCAAAUCAGACAUGUUGAGGUGAAUACGUUCCCAGGUCUUGUACACACCGCCCGUCGCACUAUGAGAGCCGUUAAUACUUAAAAGCAUUUAUCUA